Molecule: long non-coding RNA, 2371 nt
Organism: Strigops habroptila (Kakapo)
Lineage: Eukaryota; Metazoa; Chordata; Aves; Psittaciformes; Psittacidae
Source: Ensembl
GGCCACUUCUCCAAGGCCGCACACAAAUUCUGUAACAAUCACAUAGUUUUUCUUCCUUUCAAUCUUCAUACAGUAGGUCUAGACAGACAAGUUCUCUCCCCUCGCCAAAUCUGGAGUCAUCCUCAUGGCAGCCCUGUCUUGUAUACAAAAGGAGAUAGGGUCCUGAAGAAAAAAGUAUAACAGUUUGAGCUUUAUAAUGAAAAAUUACUUCCUUUGUUAAAAUCCACCAGCAUCUCCUAUGCUAGGUCAAGUGGUAUCACUGUGUUAUCUUUCACCUUUUAUGUAGUGGGAAUCACUUCUGAAUGGGAAGACCAGGAUCCAAUCUCUUCAUCUUCUUUAAAAGACACAGUGGUCAGUGAAGACACAUCAGUGAUGACAGACAGUCUUGAACCAGGACUAUUCCAGUGUUUGCAAGUUUGAGUUCGGAGUCUUACUGAUCACCUGUCAGCUAAGAUAGUAAAACCCUUGUGUUUGGCUGAAUAAUGACAUUGCUGAGGACACCAGAGGGGCUACACCUAGCCCAGUCCUUGGUGACCGCCAAGGGAAAUGCCUGCAGUGCGUGGCAGUGAGGCAGGAAGCUCCUGCUAACCAGCAGCUGUGGUUUUUGUAUGCACUUCUGGACCUGAAUGUUUUAGUUACUCCCAAAUCCUGUUUUAGGUGCCUAUAUCCCUUCUUUAAUUCCAUAGACACGCAUUCAUUUCAGCAAUUAUGUAGCUCAAUGCAUGCUUACUCUGAUUUCUAAUUUGUUGUUGAACUUUCUUAUCUCCUAGAAAAUAACUAUUUACUCUGAACUCGUAUUUAGAUACAUGUAUACAGAGUUAAUUAACCAUAGAGAAAAGCAAUGUGCAAACAUGUAUAUUAGUUGUCUUAAAUAUUCUGUCUACUUAAGAAGAAAGUGCUUUUAUAAACCAUUAUGCAUUUAAAAUAUUUUAUUAAGCAAAGGAAACAUUAACUGUAAUUUAUUAAAUUGAUGGAUCGAUUAAUGAAUUGAUGGAUUUGUUCUGGUCGCUAAGGGCCAUACACUGUGUUUGAUAUAGUUUGAUAUUAAAACUGUCAAUCUGCUCUGACACUUCAGUAUACCUCAGCAGGAAUUUAUCCGUUAACUUUAUAUGUCUACCACCUUCUGCAAAUCUGCCCUAAUGCCCUUUGACUUUUCAGAAUUAGUGGAUCUCAUCCUCUGCCACCUGGAUAUUUAUUUGCUGCUGGAGCAAAAGAGCUGCCUCUUCUUCUUGAUCCAUUUUUCAUACUUAAACAGAUUCUUCCAAGUAAAGAAUAUUUUCUCUCAGAACCUACUAAUGAAACUAAAAAUCAAAGUUGUCAGUAAGCUGGUGAUGGAUUUAGUGACCCAGCAGAUCCCUUAUGUCUUAUGUUCAUAAUAUGACUGAGGUAGUUAUUUUUCUUCAUCUUAGAAACUAAGACUUUGCAUUUUUGACGGCAGGAAGGACAAUGUUUACACUAUUGUCAAAGAGGAAAGAAAUAAAGUUUAUAUGUAUGAGUGCCUCAGUUUGUAAUGAUGUGACAUAGGUUUAAUCAUGAAACAGGCUCAUUUGGUAGUCAAUAUUACAGCAAUUUUCUACCAGAUCCCAUAUAUGACUAAAACAAAGCAGCCCUUAAAUGAAAAAAUUAAGAAGGCGGCUCAUUUAUUGCAUCCUUUUAAUAUAUGUAAAUUACUUAAUAGAUUAUAAGAACAUGUAUGUGGAGAAGAGAGAAUGCUUGAACCAUAUUCCAACCUGAGAUUAAUGCCUGACAAGAUUAUCUGUCUGAAGCCUUUUGACUUAAUCAGUUUAUUCCAUGAUUUUAUAAUCUGACAAAGCUAGCUAGGUAUUUGACAUGUAUGCAUUCAUUGUACAACCAAAAAGCAUAUAAAAUAUUGUUUAAAAUUGUAGCAGGUAGGUGUGUUAAUACAUUCUAAACCCCAAAAUUGUUUCUCUAUCUAUAUGUAUUGCCUAUUGACAGAUGAGAGCCAAAAUAAUUCUGACAGCCAUUUCAGCUGAAGGUGGGUAAAUUGUUGAGCUUCAGAAAAAGCAUUUAGAAUAGCCUAAUUAGCAGCUGAAUUUCUGCAGUGAUUUACAGUCAGCUAGUGUCUGAUGUGCAGACUGGAUGCAGACAGGUUGGUUCUGGUGUGCAUUGCAGCAGUGAAAAACAGGAGCCAGCAUUUGCAUUUCAGCAGAUUACUCUGGAUUCACAGAAUUGUAACUAAAAUGUCAUUAGCCCAGUGUUUGUUUCUGAAACUGAAGUUGGGGCUAGUCCAGGUCUCAUUGAAAUGAUUUAGGGUUUUUGCCGCGGAUUUCGGGCAAGUGUCCCACUUUGAGCUCCGAACACAUAAGAACUGUUUAACAGUUUGGUUACUGAGCUCCUUAAACCUCCCAGC